RNAcentral lists this ribosomal RNA (446 nucleotides) under uncultured bacterium. RNAcentral's name for it is "partial 16S ribosomal RNA". It matches the Rfam family "Bacterial small subunit ribosomal RNA", at positions 354 to 796 of the family's 1533-position model. The record is from RNAcentral.
GUAGGGAAUAUUGGACAAUGGGGGGAACCCUGAUCCAGCCAUGCCGCGUGGAGGAAGACUGCCCUCUGGGUUGUAAACUCCUUUUAUAUGGGAAGAACCGUCCUCAUUAAUGAGUGACCUGACGGUACCAUAGGAAUAAGCACCGGCUAACUCCGUGCCAGCAGCCGCGGUAAUACGGAGGGUGCAAGCGUUAUCCGGAUUCACUGGGUUUAAAGGGUGCGUAGGCGGAUAAAUAAGUCAGUGGUGAAAUCAACAGGCUCAACCUGUUAACUGCCAUUGAUACUGUGUAUCUUGAAUAUGAGAGAGGUAGGCGGAAUGUUGCAUGUAGCGGUGAAAUGCUUAGAUAUGCUACGGAACACCGAUUGCGAAGACAGCUUACUAUUUCGUAAUUGACGCUGAGGCACGAAAGCGUGGGUAGCGAACAGGAUUAGAUACCCUAGUAGUCC